GGGAGAGAAGCCCAAGGCCUCCUGCCCUACAUAUUGAUCUGUAUCAUCCUCCGGGAAGCAUAGGACGUCCUGACCUGAUCCGACCUGAUUCUUAUCCAAAGUUAUAGGACCACAUGAUAACCAGACCCCACCUGCACUGAUAGCAUUUUAACGAUUUUUUUUCAUGAUCUUUCCUUUGUAUUGUAGAGAAAUAACUCACAUACCUAUGCCUUAUAAAUUUAGCCUUAACCCUCAACCCAUUGCAGCUCUUACUGACAUGGGUCCUGUCCCCAUGCUAUUCUCUGAAUAAAAGAGCACUACUACCAGACCUUGAGAGUCCGAGAAAUCUUUCUUUCGACUCCUCGGCCUGCCGAGUCUGUCGUUUCUUCUGGUGGCCCAUACAGGGAUCUUGCUUCACCGGCUUGUGAGCUGAAGUUCUGGACCAUGGGAGCUUCUAAUUCCAUUCCUAAGGACUCACCUUUGGGCUGCCUUUUAAAUAAUUGGGCAAAAUUUGAUCUACAAGAUCUAAAGAAAAAGAGACAUCUUUUACUGUAGUACUGUUUGGCCUCAAUAUACUCUGAAUGAGGAAAAAUGGCCCAUGAAUGGCAUCCUAAAUUUUAAUACUAUUUUUCAACUAGACUUAUUUUGCCACCACCUGGGAAAAUGGUCUGAAAUCCCUUACAGUCAAGCAUUUAUGGCCCUAUAUCAAGAUCCUGAACUCAGAGCAGUUUGUCGCAUGUGUCUAGCUUCCCCCACUAAAGUAGAAAAACCCAUAUCUGAUAUAUUAGAUGAUGACUGCCUUGUUAGACCUCUCCCUAAGGCCCCUGCAGCUCCUGCCGAAUUAACCUCUCCCAAGGACUCAAAGACCAGAAUACCCCCUCCCUCCAAGGAGGAACCUAAAAUUGAGUCCUCAAUCCCUGUAAGUCCUGCAGGUCAUACGAGGAGUGGGACCUCUGAUAAUCCUGGACAUCUCCUUCUCCGCGAGGUAGCAAAUGGGGACCUUUUGAGUCCAUGUGCCAUUUUUGAUGUCUGAAGUGGCUCAACUAAAGGCACAACUGGGUAGAUAUUCAGAAAGUCCUUCCCAAUUUAUUGACAGCUUUCAACAGCUUGUCAUGAUGUUUGAUUUGACCUAGCAGGAUAUAUAUAUUAUUCUUACUCGUUGCUGCACUACAGAUGAAGAAAAUCGUAUUUGGGCGGGAGCACGUGAAUUUGCAGAUGAUUUACGUACUAGAGACAGACAUAAAUAUCCAGUAGGAGGCACUAUGGUGCCAGAUACAGACCCCAAAUGGGAUUAUAGGGAUGAAAAAGAGGACAACGGAAUCACAUGGCUACUUGUUUAAUAAAGGAAAUGAAGAAGGGAUUUACAAAGCCAGUCAAUUUUGACAGACUCUGGGAAAUAACUCAGGGAACAGAUGAAAACUCUGCCCUUUUUCCAGAGAGAUUAGCUGAAACUACUCAAAAAUACACCAAUCUAGACUCUACUUCUCCGGAAGGGAUUACUAUUCUAAACAUGCACUUCAUUAGUCAAUCUGCCCCAGACAUACGCCGAAAAUUGACAAAAUUGACAAAAAGUCCUACCAGACUUUUGGAGGUUGCUACUCAGGUUUUUAAUGAUCGGGACAGGAUAAGGACAGAAGGGUAAAAUUACACGGUAAGGUACAGGCUCACAUUUUAGCAGCCGCCAUUGCGGAUAUGCCACCGAAACAGGCUAGCGAGGGUCUCAAGUCUCAAACUACAAAUGCCAGAGACCCAGGUAAGUUCCCUUGUUACCACUGCCGUCUAUUUGGACACUGGAGCAAACAGUGGCCAAGAAAGGAUCUUCCUCCUGGGCCUUGUCCUCUCUGCAAGCGAGAGGGACAUUGGAAGCGUGAUUGUCCUUGCCUCCAGAGCAAAGAGGGGCCAAGAACACACUUCCCUUCCUGGAGAUGCAAUCCUGAAGGCUCUGCCUGAAGGGGCCCAGAGGCCAGUCUGGCUCCCAUCAUCAUCGAACAGACUGAGCCCCUGGUUACUCUGGAUGUGGAAG
RNAcentral lists this long non-coding RNA (2002 nucleotides) under Equus asinus (donkey). RNAcentral describes it as "lncRNA (ENSEASG00005023993.1)". The record is from RNAcentral. Lineage: Eukaryota; Metazoa; Chordata; Mammalia; Perissodactyla; Equidae.